This 253-nucleotide ribosomal RNA is filed under the name uncultured bacterium. Its description in RNAcentral is "partial 16S ribosomal RNA". It matches the Rfam family "Bacterial small subunit ribosomal RNA", at positions 524 to 776 of the family's 1533-position model. The record is from RNAcentral.
UACGUAGGGUGCGCGCGUUAAUCGGAAUUAUUGGGCGUAAAGCGUGCGUAGGUGGUGUGUUACGUCUGUCGUGAAAGCCCCGGGCUCAACCUGGGAAUGGCGAUGGAUACUGGCUCGCUAGAGUGCGGUAGAGGAGAGUGGAAUUCCCGGUGUAGCAGUGAAAUGCGUAGAGAUCGGGAGGAACAUCAGUUGCGAAGGCGGCUCUCUGGACCAGAACUGACACUGAGGCACGAAAGCGUGGGGAGCAAACAGG